GCAUAAUCUCUAAGGAGAAAAGCAGGGGAUCGCAAGACCUUGCGCUUUUGGAGCGGCCGAUGUCUGAUUAGCUAGUUGGUGAGGUAAAGGCUUACCAAGGCUUCGAUCAGUAGCUGGUCUGAGAGGACGACCAGCCACACUGGGACUGAGACACGGCCCAGACUCCUACGGGAGGCAGCAGUGGGGAAUUUUGGACAAUGGGGGCAACCCUGAUCCAGCCAUGCCGCGUGAGUGAAGAAGGCCUUCGGGUUGUAAAGCUCUUUCAGCCGGAACGAAAAGGGUACGGUUAAUACCCGUGACUAAUGACGGUACCGGAAGAAGAAG
RNAcentral lists this ribosomal RNA (324 nucleotides) under uncultured beta proteobacterium. RNAcentral describes it as "bacterial SSU rRNA". It matches the Rfam family "Bacterial small subunit ribosomal RNA", at positions 171 to 490 of the family's 1533-position model. Lineage: Bacteria; Pseudomonadati; Pseudomonadota; Betaproteobacteria. The record is from RNAcentral.